GAUGAACGCUGGCGGCGUGCCUAAUACAUGCAAGUCGAGCGAACGGACGAGAAGCUUGCUUCUCUGAUGUUAGCGGCGGACGGGUGAGUAACACGUGGAUAACCUACCUAUAAGACUGGGAUAACUUCGGGAAACCGGAGCUAAUACCGGAUAAUAUUUUGAACCGCAUGGUUCAAAAGUGAAAGACGGUCUUGCUGUCACUUAUAGAUGGAUCCGCGCUGCAUUAGCUAGUUGGUAAGGUAACGGCUUACCAAGGCAACGAUGCGUAGCCGACCUGAGAGGGUGAUCGGCCACACUAGAACUGGGACACGGUCCAGACUCCUACGGGAGGCAGCAGUAGGGAAUCGUCCGCAAUGGGCGAAAGCCUGACGGAGCAACGCCGCGUGAGUGAUGAAGGUCUUCGGAUCGUAAAACUCUGUUAUUAGGGAAGAACAUAUGUGUAAGUAACUGUGCACAUCUUGACGGUACCUAAUCAGAAAGCCACGGCUAACUACGUG
RNAcentral lists this ribosomal RNA (497 nucleotides) under uncultured bacterium. RNAcentral describes it as "partial 16S ribosomal RNA". It matches the Rfam family "Bacterial small subunit ribosomal RNA", at positions 28 to 507 of the family's 1533-position model. The record is from RNAcentral.